This is a transfer RNA of 84 nucleotides. It matches the Rfam family "tRNA". Rfam says of the family: Transfer RNA (tRNA) molecules are approximately 80 nucleotides in length. Their secondary structure includes four short double-helical elements and three loops (D, anti-codon, and T loops).
UCCGGAAUGGUGUAGUGGCUAGCAUUUCUGCCUCUCAUGAACGUAUGUACGCAGGAGACCGGGGUUCAAUUCCCCGUUUCGGAA